UAUCAAAAACAUGUCUUUUAGAAUUUAAUUUAAAGUCUAACCUGCCCACUGAUAAUUAUUAAAUGGCCGCAGUAUCCUAACUGUGCAAAGGUAGCAUAAUCAUUAGUCUUUUAAUUGAAGGCUGGAAUGAAUGGUUGAAUGAAAUAUUAACUGUUUCAUAAAAAUUUUUAAUAGAAUUUUAUUUUUUAGUUAAAAAGCUAAAAUAAAAUUAAAAGACGAGAAGACCCUAUAAAUCUUUAUAUUUUAUUGGGGUGAUAUUAAAAUUUAAUAAACUUUUAAUUUUUAUUUUACAUAAAUUAAUGAAUUAUUGAUCCAUAUAUUAUGAUUAAAAAAAUAAGUUACUUUAGGGAUAACAGCGUAAUUUUUUUAGAGAGUUCUUAUUGAUAAAAAAGAUUGCGACCUCGAUGU
This 408-nucleotide ribosomal RNA is filed under the name Apocephalus crassilatus. RNAcentral describes it as "partial 16S ribosomal RNA". It matches the Rfam family "Bacterial large subunit ribosomal RNA", at positions 1805 to 2532 of the family's 2925-position model. Lineage: Eukaryota; Metazoa; Arthropoda; Insecta; Diptera; Phoridae. The record is from RNAcentral.